GGGAUGGACCGCCUCGGCGGAAAGUCAAAACUGAGUGAUUCUAUGCUUCCGAGAAAAGCUGCGGGCCGAGCAUUCCGGCUGUCCGUACCGCAAACCGACUCAGGUGGGCGGGAAGAGUAUUCCAAGGCGUUUGAGAGAACCGUGGUUAAGGAACUAGGCAAAUUGACACCGUAACUUCGGGAUAAGGUGUGCCUCCGAGGUAGAGCUGAACAGGCCGAGCCAGAAGAGGUCGCAGAGAAUUGGGGGUAGCGACUGUUUACCAAAAACACAGGACUGUGCGAAGUCACGAAGACGACGUAUACGGUCUGACGCCUGCCCGGUGCUGGAAGGUUAAGAGGAGAGGUUAGAGCAAUCGAAGCUUUGAAUCGAAGCCCCAGUAAACGGCGGCCGUAACAAUAACGGUCCUAAGGUAGCGAAAUUCCUUGUCGGGUAAGUUCCGACCUGCACGAAUGGCGUAACGACUUCCCCGCUGUCUCAACCAUGGACUCAGUGG
This 493-nucleotide ribosomal RNA is filed under the name uncultured bacterium. RNAcentral's name for it is "bacterial LSU rRNA". It matches the Rfam family "Bacterial large subunit ribosomal RNA", at positions 1559 to 2038 of the family's 2925-position model. The record is from RNAcentral.